RNAcentral lists this long non-coding RNA (589 nucleotides) under Homo sapiens (human). RNAcentral's name for it is "long non-coding RNA NONHSAT164182". The record is from RNAcentral. Lineage: Eukaryota; Metazoa; Chordata; Mammalia; Primates; Hominidae.
UUUGCUGAAGAGAAGCCAAGAAAACCAGUGACUGAUAAAGGGGAUCUUGAUGGCCAUGAUUUUCAUCUGUGGCCAAUCACAAUCUAUGUUCUGUGCGUGGGCUGUGGCCAAUCACAAUCUAUGUACUGUGGCUGGGCUGUGGCCAAUCACAAUCUAUGUACUGGGAGUGGGCUGUGGCCAAUCAAAAUCUAUGUACUGUGGGUGGGUAUGUUGCACUGCAGUCACAUCAGGAUUCUAUCAGCAAGAAAAUUCCUACAUGGGUGGACAAGCAAAAAUGUCAGUCCCUGCCUUCACCACCUUCCUUUCCACUCGUGUCGAGAGCCCUAAAGAUGACCUGAUUCUCAGCUGGGGCUCUUCUAUGAACAGCUGGUAGCCAUAAGGAGCAGAAAAGAAAACUUCUGAUUCUGAAUCUAUCAACUUAGCCUCUGACACUGCAUACAAUGCUGCAUCCUACAGCCCCCACUUUUUUGGGUAGACGGCCAUCAGAAUCCAAAGUUUAUAUUAUUCUGAAGAUCUGUUUGUUGUAAACAACAAACAUAUACAAAAAAAGGCCCAUAUACAAGUAAAACAAACAAAACAGGUUUGUUUA